Molecule: ribosomal RNA, 498 nt
Filed under: uncultured bacterium
Lineage: Bacteria
Description: partial 16S ribosomal RNA
Rfam family: Bacterial small subunit ribosomal RNA
Source: RNAcentral
GACGAACGCUGGCGGCGUGCCUAAUACAUGCCAGUCGAGCGGACGGAUGGGAGCUUGCUCCCAGACCGUCAGCGGCGGACGGGUGAGUAACACGUGGGCAACCUGCCUGUAAGACUGGGAUAACUCCGGGAAACCGGGGCUAAUACCGGAUAACUCUUUCCCUCACAUGAGGGAAAGCUGAAAGAUGGCAUCUCGCUAUCACUUACAGAUGGGCCCGCGGCGCAUUAGCUAGUUGGUGAGGUAACGGCUCACCAAGGCGACGAUGCGUAGCCGACCUGAGAGGGUGAUCGGCCACACUGGGACUGAGACACGGCCCAGACUCCUACGGGAGGCAGCAGUAGGGAAUCUUCCGCAAUGGACGAAAGUCUGACGGAGCAACGCCGCGUGAGUGAUGAAGGUUUUCGGAUCGUAAAACUCUGUUGUCAGGGAAGAACAAGUACCGGAGUAACUGCCGGUACCUUGACGGUACCUGAACAGAAAGCCACGGCUAACUACGUG